UACAGAGGGUGCGAGCGUUGUCCGGAAUCACUGGGCGUAAAGGGCGCGUAGGUGGCGCUGCAAGUCGGUGGUGAAAGCUCGUCGCUUAACGACGAGUCGGCCAUCGAAACUGCGGGGCUGGAGCACUGUAGGGGCAGAUGGAAUUCCGGGUGUAGCGGUGGAAUGCGUAGAGAUCCGGAAGAACACCAGUGGCGAAGGCGGUCUGCUGGGCAGUUGCUGACACUGAGGCGCGACAGCGUGGGGAGCAAACAGG
Molecule: ribosomal RNA, 253 nt
Filed under: uncultured bacterium
Lineage: Bacteria
Description: partial 16S ribosomal RNA
Rfam family: Bacterial small subunit ribosomal RNA
Source: RNAcentral